Molecule: transfer RNA, 70 nt
Filed under: Diaethria gabaza eupepla
Lineage: Eukaryota; Metazoa; Arthropoda; Insecta; Lepidoptera; Nymphalidae
Description: tRNA-Cys
Source: RNAcentral
AGCCUUAUAUUCAAAUAAUGAUUUAAAAUUGCAAAUUUUAAGUUAUAAGUUAAUUUACUUAUUAAGGCUU